CUGUAUUGCACUGCAGUCACAUUGCACAUAGGGGAUGUAACAUGCAAUGCAACUACAAUGCACUACAG
Pelobates cultripes (western spadefoot toad) is the source of this 68-nucleotide non-coding RNA. The record is from the annotation of a GenBank genome assembly. Lineage: Eukaryota; Metazoa; Chordata; Amphibia; Anura; Pelobatidae.